AUCGUCUUUAUUUUCAAUACCUAAAUACACAAGGAAACUAUAAUCUCCUCCUUCAUCUUAUUGGUCUCUUCCUUACAGCAAUUCAAUCAUACCAAUAACUACUAUUUCUACCAAUAUAUUCACCCUCAUAAUCUCCAACUGUAAUAUUGUGCCCUCACAGCUUUCAGCACACAAUUACCCUCAUUCCAAUCACUGAAAUUCUUCACAUAGAACUGCCAUUCACAUUACAGUGUUUCACACAAACAUAGACUCAUUCUCUUUGCUGAACUACAAUCAGAUUUCAACAUUCAAUCUUUCUUCUUCUCAAAUAAUAUCAAUCAAAUU
RNAcentral lists this long non-coding RNA (324 nucleotides) under Physcomitrium patens. RNAcentral describes it as "long non-coding RNA (PPAT_LNC010456)". Lineage: Eukaryota; Viridiplantae; Streptophyta; Bryopsida; Funariales; Funariaceae. The record is from RNAcentral.